This 727-nucleotide ribosomal RNA is filed under the name Psychrobacter sp. S1IP16. Its description in RNAcentral is "bacterial SSU rRNA". It matches the Rfam family "Bacterial small subunit ribosomal RNA", at positions 36 to 757 of the family's 1533-position model. Lineage: Bacteria; Pseudomonadati; Pseudomonadota; Gammaproteobacteria; Moraxellales; Moraxellaceae. The record is from RNAcentral.
CUGGCGGCAGGCUUAACACAUGCAAGUCGAGCGAAACGAUGAUAGCUUGCUAUCAGGCGUCGAGCGGCGGACGGGNNAGUAAUACUUAGGAAUCUACCUAGUAGUGGGGGAUAGCACGGGGAAACUCGUAUUAAUACCGCAUACGACCUACGGGAGAAAGGGGGCAGUUUACUGCUCUCGCUAUUAGAUGAGCCUAAGUCGGAUUAGCUAGAUGGUGGGGUAAAGGCCUACCAUGGCGACGAUCUGUAGCUGGUCUGAGAGGAUGAUCAGCCACACCGGGACUGAGACACGGCCCGGACUCCUACGGGAGGCAGCAGUGGGGAAUAUUGGACAAUGGGGGAAACCCUGAUCCAGCCAUGCCGCGUGUGUGAAGAAGGCCUUUUGGUUGUAAAGCACUUUAAGCAGUGAAGAAGACUCCAUGGUUAAUACCCAUGGACGAUGACAUUAGCUGCAGAAUAAGCACCGGCUAACUCUGUGCCAGCAGCCGCGGUAAUACAGAGGGUGCAAGCGUUAAUCGGAAUUACUGGGCGUAAAGGGAGCGUAGGUGGCUCUAUAAGUCAGAUGUGAAAUCCCCGGGCUUAACCUGGGAACUGCAUCUGAAACUGUAGAGCUAGAGUAUGUGAGAGGAAGGUAGAAUUCCAGGUGUAGCGGUGAAAUGCGUAGAGAUCUGGAGGAAUACCGAUGGCGAAGGCAGCCUUCUGGCAUAAUACUGACACUGAGGCUCGAA